RNAcentral lists this ribosomal RNA (468 nucleotides) under uncultured bacterium. Its description in RNAcentral is "partial 16S ribosomal RNA". It matches the Rfam family "Bacterial small subunit ribosomal RNA", at positions 28 to 507 of the family's 1533-position model. The record is from RNAcentral.
GACGAACGCUGGCGGCGUGCUUAACACAUGCAAGUCGAACGGAAAGGCCCUGCUUUUGUGGGGUGCUCGAGUGGCGAACGGGUGAGUAACACGUGAGUAACCUGCCCUUGACUUUGGGAUAACUUCAGGAAACUGGGGCUAAUACCGGAUAGGAGCUCCUGCUGCAUGGUGGGGGCUGGAAAGUUUCGGCGGUUGGGGAUGGACUCGCGGCUUAUCAGCUUGUUGGUGGGGUAGUGGCUUACCAAGGCUUUGACGGGUAGCCGGCCUGAGAGGGUGACCGGCCACGUUGGGACUGAGAUACGGCGCAGACUCCUACGGGAGGCAGCAGUGGGGAAUAUUGCACAAUGGGCGGAAGCCUGAUGCAGCAACGCCGCGUGCGGGAUGACGGCCUUCGGGUUGUAAACCGCUUUCGCCUGUGACGAAGCGUGAGUGACGGUAAUGGGUAAAGAAGCACCGGCUAACUACGUG